UACGGGGGAUCCAAGCGUUAUCCGGAUUUAUUGGGUUUAAAGGGUGCGUAGGUUGCCUGUUAAGUCAGUGGUGAAAGACGGUAGCUCAACUAUCGCAGUGCCCUUGAUACUGAUGGGCUUGAAUGAACUAGAGGUAGGCGGAAUGUGACAAGUAGCGGUGAAAUGCAUAGAUAUGUCACAGAACACCAAUUGCGAAGGCAGCUUACUAUGGUUUGAUUGACACUGAGGCACGAAAGCGUGGGGAUCAAACAGG
RNAcentral lists this ribosomal RNA (253 nucleotides) under uncultured bacterium. Its description in RNAcentral is "partial 16S ribosomal RNA". It matches the Rfam family "Bacterial small subunit ribosomal RNA", at positions 524 to 776 of the family's 1533-position model. The record is from RNAcentral.